GGGAAUGUGGCUUAAUGGUAGAGUUCUUGACUGUCAUGCAUGAAGUCCUGGGUUCGAUUCCUCAGUACCA
Non-coding RNA from Dipodomys ordii (Ord's kangaroo rat), 70 nucleotides. The record is from Rfam. Lineage: Eukaryota; Metazoa; Chordata; Mammalia; Rodentia; Heteromyidae.